AUGACGGUCUGAUCACUUGGUGUGGAAGAGUGAAAACCAGAAGCGUUGGUGAAAACAUUCAGCGAUCCGUCUACGUGUACACCGCAUUUAAAGAGAGCCGAAAAGUGCCGUCCACAGAUUGCUGGAGUUUGAAGCGAUAUUAGUGGCUGUGUAAAUCGCAUUCGCACCGAUGGCAGCUAUAAAGGCUCUUCAACAGUGGAGCAAAAUCAAGUGUGAAGGAUACCGGGAUGUGUCGAUCACAAACAUGACCACGUCAUUUCGCGACGGUUUGGCUUUCUGCGCUCUAAUUCACAAACACAGACCAGACUUGAUAGACUUUGACUCUUUGAGCAAGGAAAAUAUUUAUGAAAACAAUCAACUGGCUUUCCAGGUGGCAGAGGAGUUGGGUAUACCUGCGCUGCUGGACGCAGAAGACAUGGUGGCUUUAAAAGUGCCUGAUCGUCUUAGUAUUCUCACCUAUGUCUCUCAAUAUUACAAUUAUUUCCAAGGACGCUCUGCUAUUGGAGGUAUGUCAGGGGUGAAAAGACCGGCAGAAGAAUCUAAUGAAGAACCAUCUGGGAAGAAGAACCAACCUGUUACAGCUAAAGUUUAUACAUUGCCUGUACCAGCAACAGAGAUUAAGACACCAAAACCAGCAAACGAAAUUAAGAGGGAAGUUCUGGUUGAGCGUGCUAAUAAAACAGGAACUCUGAGCAGCAACUGUAGUGUGUGCAACCAACAUGUUCACCUUGUGCAGCGCCACCUAGUCGAUGGCAAGUUGUACCACAGGAACUGUUUUAGAUGCAAGGAGUGUUCCAAUAUUCUCCUCUCUGGCAUUUACAAGGCUGGAAAAGAACUAGGCACUUUUAUCUGCAAGACACACACAAGCAUUGAGGAGCCUCUGACCACCCAAACAAAGUACAUCACAGGACCACCACAGAAAACAUUGUCUACCGUUAUCAGCAAGAGCACAAACUCCACCCUGACUGAACAGAAUGCUUUGAGUGGAGGUUCUGGAAAGGUUGGUUCAGCGCCUAAUGUAUCUAAACUUGGCUGGCUGACCAGUGAAGGUGACCGUCCACCCACCUGUGAUCCUGUUGCUACACCGUCCCCAGCAGUUCAGCUCACACCAGCACCAAUUACAACUCCAACAUCAACGCUAGCAUCAAAAACAACUCCUACUCCAAUACCAGCACCAAAAACGACUCCAACAUCAACACCAGCACCAAUUACAACUCCAACAUCAACACCAGCAUCAAAAACAACUCCUACUCCAAUACCAGCACCAAAAAUGUCUCCAACACUUGCACCAAAAACGACUCCAACAUCAACACCAGCACCAAAAACGACUCCAACAUCAACACCAGCACCAAAAAUGACUCCAAUUACAACACCAGCACCAAUUAAAACUCCAACAUCAAUACUAGCAUCAAAAACGACUCCAACAUCAACACCAGCACCAAAAAUGACUCCAAUUACAACACCAGCACCAAUUAAAACUCCAACAUCAACACUUGCACCAAAAACGACUCCAACAUCAACACCAGCACCAAAAAUUACUCCAGUUACAACACCAGCACCAAAAACGACUCCAACUCCAGCACCAAUUACAACACCAGCACCAAUUACAACUCCAACAUCAAUACUAGCAUCAAAAACAACUCCAACAUCAACACUUGCACCAAAAACGACUCCAACAUCAACACCAGCACCAAAAAUGACUUCAACAUCAACACCAGCACCAAAAAUGACUCCAGUUACAACACCAGCACCAAUUAAAACUCCAACAUCAAUACUAGCAUCAAAAACAACUCCAACAUCAACACCAGCACCAAUUAAAACUCCAACAUCAAUACUAGCAUCAAAAACAACUCCAAUAUCAACACUAGCAUCAAAAACAACUCCUACUCCAAUACCAGCACCAAAAAUUACUCCAACAUCAACACCAGCACCAAAAACGACUCCAACAUCAACACCAGCACCAAAAACGACUCCAACUCCAGCACCAAUUACAACACCAGCACCAAUUACAACUCCAACAUCAACACUAGCACCAAAAACGACUCCAACACCAGCACCAAAAACAACAACACCAGCACCAAUUUCAACUCCAACAUCAACACCAGCACCAAUUUCAACUCCAACAUCAACACCAGCACCAAAAACGACUCCAACACUAGCACCAAAAACGUCUCCAACACUAGCACCAAAAACGACUCCAACACCAGCACCAAAAACAACAACAACACCAGCACCAAAAACAACUCCAACUCCAGCACCAAUUACAACACCAGAACCAAAAACGACUCCAACAUCAACACCAACACCAGCCCCAAUUACAACACCAGCCCCAAUUACAACUCCAGCACCAAUUACAACACCAAUUACAACUCCAGCACCAAAAACGACUCCAACAUCAACAUCAGCACCAAAAACGACUCCAGAACCAAAAACAACUCCAACACCAGCACCAAAAACGGCUCCAGAACCAAAAACAACUCCAACACCAGCACCAAAAACGGCUCCAGAACCAAAAACAACUCCAACAUCAACACCAGCACCAAAAACGGCUCCAGAACCAAAAACAACUCCAACACCAGCACCAAAAACAACUCCAACACCAGCACCAAAAAUGGCUCCAGAACCAAAAACAACUCCAACAUCAACACCAGCACCAAAAACGGCUCCAGAACCAAAAACAACUCCAACAUCAACUCCAGCACCAAAAACAACUCCAACACCAGCACCAAAAACGACUCCAACACCAGCACCAAAAACAACAUCAACUCCAGCACCAAAAACAACUCCAACUCCAGCACCAAUUACAACACCAGAACCAAAAACGACUCCAACAUCAACACCAGCCCCAAUUACAACACCAGCCCCAAUUACAACACCAGCCCCAUUACAACUCCAGCACCAAUUACAACACCAGAACCAAAAACGACUCCAACAUCAACACCAGCCCCAAUUACAACACCAGCCCCAAUUACAACUCCAGCACCAAUUACAACACCAAUUACAACUCCAGCACCAAAAACGACUCCAACAUCAACACCAGCACCAAAAACGACUCCAGAACCAAAAACAACUCCAACACCAGCACCAAAAACGACUCCAGAACCAAAAACAACUCCAACAUCAACACCAGCACCAAAAACGACUCCAACACCAGCACCAAAAACAACAUCAACACCAGCACCAAUUACAACUCCAGCACCAGCAUCUACAAACAUAAAAACCCCCAUUAACCUCAGAACGCCCACUGAGAUGCCUAAACCCAUAAGCAACAGUGUACAGAAGAACCAAGAAGUCAGAAAAAGAUUAUUUGAUUCAAGCACCAAUUCCAGCAGUGUUGUUCUUCCCAAUAAGAGCACCUCAGCAGACACAUCUACUACAUCAGUGACUCCAGGAGGUCUUAAAACUUCUUCAUCAGAGCACACAAUAUCUGGCACCUCUGCUGGAACAG
Molecule: RNA transcript, 3448 nt
Organism: Xyrauchen texanus (razorback sucker)
Lineage: Eukaryota; Metazoa; Chordata; Actinopteri; Cypriniformes; Catostomidae
Gene: micall2b
Gene name: mical-like 2b
Exons: 7
Source: RefSeq, a predicted model, not a curated record